RNAcentral lists this ribosomal RNA (430 nucleotides) under uncultured Bacteroidota bacterium. RNAcentral describes it as "bacterial SSU rRNA". It matches the Rfam family "Bacterial small subunit ribosomal RNA", at positions 57 to 485 of the family's 1533-position model. Lineage: Bacteria; Pseudomonadati; Bacteroidota. The record is from RNAcentral.
GCAAGUCGAACGAGAUCAGGGGCUUCGGUUCCUGGUUUAGUGGCGCACGGGUGCGUAACGCGUAUGCAACCUACCUUCCACUGGGGGAUAGCCCGGAGAAAUCCGGAUUAAUACCGCAUGACAUCGUUUGAGGGCAUCCGAAGACGAUCAAAGCUGAGGCGGUGGAAGAUGGGCAUGCGUGCCAUUAGCUAGUUGGCGGGGUAACGGCCCACCAAGGCUACGAUGGCUAGGGGUUCUGAGAGGAUGGUCCCCCACACUGGUACUGAGACACGGACCAGACUCCUACGGGAGGCAGCAGUAGGGAAUAUUGGGCAAUGGCCGAGAGGCUGACCCAGCCAUGCCGCGUGCAGGAAGAAGGCCUUCUGGGUUGUAAACUGCUUUUAUCUAGGAAGAAAAAGCCCAUGCGUGGGAAACUGACGGUACUAGAUGA